RNAcentral lists this unclassified non-coding RNA (2143 nucleotides) under Hevea brasiliensis (rubber tree). Lineage: Eukaryota; Viridiplantae; Streptophyta; Magnoliopsida; Malpighiales; Euphorbiaceae. The record is from RNAcentral.
UCUGAUGAUAACUGUUGAUUCUGAUAAAGUCUCUGCCCCUUCAAAAUGGUAUCAUGUUUUGGUGACAAUGUGCUGUAAGUCCUAAGAGAGGCCAGCUGCCUUCGAACUGGAGCCUCAGAACAAUCACCAGUAAUUCUGGGCAUAACUUCCUUAUCCACAUAGACAGAUUCAACGUUUAGGGCUGCCAUCCUCUGUCUCUGAAAAUUCUCCAUCUUAUGUCCUGAUUCGUUGCUGAAGCAGUUUUGGGCAUCAUUUUCUCUAUUAUCUUGAUUCCGAGCUGAAGGAGAACUUGCAUUCUCUGAAGAGAUACUGCAAGGAACAAUAGAACAAAGAGGAUCCACCAAAGAUUGAUUACAAGAUCCAACCUCUUGGGAAAUCAAAAUCCCCUCAUCAGCUUUUUCUAGUACACCUUCAAAGGGUAUGCUAGACGGUGAAGCUAUCUUGGAUCCAGCUUCAAGUUUCCGGACAAAAGAGUUCUCAUCAGCAGCAACAUCUGCAGACUCAGAGAGAAAGCUUGUCUCACCACCAAAAAAAUUCAGUAUGCCUUUAGUGUUGUUCUGCUUCAACUUUGCAGAAGCAUCAGCUUCCUUCACUGUCCAACCACCCAACCAGCGGCUUCUGAAUCUAUCUGCAACUAAAUAACAUUCUCUACCUUCAGCAUUUUCUGAAAUACAAGCCGGAGAUGAGCUUAUAUCAUCUGAAGGCUGAAAUUUCAUCAGAUUAAAGUCAACACCUUGAGAGAGGGAAAUUAUAUGAAAGAAAAGCAGCAGGUACUGACUCCAGAACCUGCUGAUCUUCAACUCCCAUCUUUAUUAAAUUUGAACCAUAUAAGGAGAAGAUAGCUGAAUUAACUGAAUAAAAGGAAAACUCGAUAAACAAAAAGAUAACUUUCCAUUAUGCCUGUCUCUUCUAGAUAGAUAAGCAUUGGCAGUGGCUACAAGGAGAAAAAUUUUACCUGUGCCAUUGCUGAAACAUGUGAAAUUUUCUCAGCAGGCUGAUGUAAGAUGGGAUCAACAAGGCUUGCCACAUUAGAGACCUCCAAACCCAGAGCCGAACCAUCAGAAACUUUAUCUUGUUGAGACAUGAGUACAAGAUUGGAUUCAUUGUUAUGCCUAUAAUGAUUUUCCAAUACAGGAGUAUCCUUCACUUGAGAGGCAUCUGAACCGCAAGCAUGCUGACCAUCAGGAUUGUUGAGAGAUAACCCCACAUCUAGAAAGGCAUUCUCCAUAAUUAAGUCAUCUAAGUCUGAAAGAAAAUCAAUCUCAUCAAUUUCUUCAGACGAGCAGCAGAUGCCAUCUUCUAAAGCCUCCAACCGUGCUUGCUUAACCCGAAGUGCAGCUUCAAGAAUAGUUCCUGUUGGCAAAAAUUCUAAAGUUGAUCCAGUUAUCAUCAAUUCAUGUAUAGCCAAUGCUUCAGAUGCAGCUAUAGAAAGUUCAACUGCAUCACUGACAUCAGCAUCUUUGAUGUGUCUAACAUUUAAUUUUUCUUCAUGCUGUCUGCUGUCCGUACACUUGGUGCGAGAUGAAUGACCAGCAUUCUCCAUUAUUGGAGAGUCGGAUUUUGUUAUUACUGCACCAGCAUUAUGAUAAACUUCUUCUUCAUAAUGCCUCGCAAAUUCUUCAUUAUUGGUUGGAGACUCUGGACAAACUUUCUCGACAGCUAUUGGGACAGAAGUCAGAUUUGAAAUUUUUACACCAUCAACCACUUUUGAUUGACAUGCUUUCUGUUGUGAGCCACCAGAUGCUUCAACUUGUGGCAAUAACAGAACCUUACUAGAGCCAAGCAGGGCUUGAGAUGCACACAAAUCCUGGGUUUGGCUAUGUAUUGAUUCCCCGUAUGAAGAUAGAUGCAAACGAAGAUGCAGUGCAUUCCCUGGCGAAAGAGAAGCGCUAUUUUGGGAAGUAUCUUCUCCAGACAAGAACAAGUGACAACUAUUGUAUCUACCCUCUUCCCUUGAAAAAGUUUGUAAUUGACUAUUAACAGUUUGGGGUUCCUUUAAGUGGUUAGUAUCAGAUGAUUCUACUUGAAGAUUCUGAAGCCAAGGAGGUAGCCAAGCUAAAUCCUCAGAGAAUUGAGGAGGACGAAACCCUAAGCUGGCCAUGAAAAGUUGGAAAGAGCGCGAGAUGUCGAGAGGGAACUUUCG